CUACGGGAUGCUCCAGUGAGGAAUAUUGCACAAUGGGGGGAACCCUGAUGCAGCAACGCCGCGUGGAGGAUGACGCAUUUCGGUGUGUAAACUCCUUUUAUAUGUCAAGAAAAUGACGGUAGCAUAUGAAUAAGCACCGGCUAACUCCGUGCCAGCAGCCGCGGUAAUACGGAGGGUGCAAGCGUUACUCGGAAUCACUGGGCGUAAAGGACGUGUAGGCGGGUCGGAAAGUCAGGUGUGAAAUCCUACAGCUUAACUGUAGAACUGCGCUUGAAACUUCUAAUCUAGAGUAUGGGAGGGGGAGAUGGAAUUAGUGGUGUAGGGGUAAAAUCCGUAGAUAUCACUAGGAAUACCUAAAGCGAAGGCGAUCUCCUGGAACAUUACUGACGCUAAGGCGUGAAAGCGUGGGGAGCAAACAGGAUUAGAUACCCUCGUAGUC
This 439-nucleotide ribosomal RNA is filed under the name uncultured bacterium. RNAcentral's name for it is "partial 16S ribosomal RNA". It matches the Rfam family "Bacterial small subunit ribosomal RNA", at positions 339 to 795 of the family's 1533-position model. The record is from RNAcentral.